UUUSCUUAUCUAUGUUUCGUUCGUCUUUUGUCAUGAUCAUGAAGUUAGAUGAACCCCAAACCUGUCUCUUUGAGCCAUAUCAUUAAUGUUUGUGUUGAUGUAGUGGUGCRUGGAGCCUAGSUUGGUAUCUUUGAUGUAGUGCUUAAUGUGGGCAUGGGUCUCAUGGAUCCUUGUUAUGUCUUUGUUUAGWGUUUACGCUCCCUAAAAUGACUGCUUGACGCGUGUUGGCUMGUAAAASCGUGUUGGGCUCUGUCKAAGAGGACCGUUACCUGGU
RNAcentral lists this unclassified non-coding RNA (274 nucleotides) under Trichogonia campestris. Its description in RNAcentral is "partial contains external transcribed spacer and 18S ribosomal RNA". The record is from RNAcentral. Lineage: Eukaryota; Viridiplantae; Streptophyta; Magnoliopsida; Asterales; Asteraceae.